This is a long non-coding RNA of Bactrocera neohumeralis, 1959 nucleotides long. RefSeq lists it as uncharacterized. Lineage: Eukaryota; Metazoa; Arthropoda; Insecta; Diptera; Tephritidae. The transcript has 5 exons. The record is from RefSeq and is a predicted model, not a curated record.
AGCAACGUAUUUACUAACAAAGUUUACGUCGCAAAGUGUUUAGUAUUAAUUAUAUAAGAAAGAGUAACGAUCGAUGCAAUAAAAUAUGGCUGCUGCCGUUUGUUGUCGCGACUAAUCGCCGGCUCUCGCGAGGCAAUGGUUAGUUGGUAGCAGCUACUCUUCAUUACAGUUUAUCUUCCAGCUACUGUGAUAUUAGAUUAAUGAAAUAAAAAACGAGUAACAAGUUACAGCCAUUUCCAAGGUGGGCUGUGCUAUUCGUGGCAAAGCAUAUGUCGUUGCUUUCGCUAACAAGCCUCACUAAGUGCAAGCUCCAAGACGCUGAAAUAGAAGUAGAGAAAUCGAUUUAAGUGCAGAAAUUGACUUAAGCAUUAAUUAAGUCGGAGAGCCUUCUAAAAUGUUAUUUUGCUUUAAAUUUCAUAACGUUUUCGUGACCCAUCUGGACUAAGCUAAUAAAAUAUGAAAUGUCAUUUGAAUGCUAGUAGACAUUAGUUCUUAGUAUAACAAUCAGGCUUACUCAAACACUGGUUAUACUACAUAUAAUACUCUUGCUUGUGACAGCUUAUCCUGUAAACUCUUCUAGCAUAUUAACAUGGAUUUAAACGGCUACGCGAAAUUCUAUUUAUAUUGCGCUGAAAUAACUAAACCAAAUACAUUAAAAUAAGUAAACUCUCAUUAUUAUCGAGAAUUAAUAAUUCGUCAACUUCCUGGUUAGAAUAUAUGGACUAAAUGCUUAGCGUUGCAUUGGAAAAAAAAUCGUGAAUUCAAGGACUAAAAUCUAAAAUCCGCUGCAAGACACUCUAGAAGAACACCUCAGGUCUUGGAUAUAUUACAAAAUUACUUUGUGGUAGUGUUGCAGGACAUCAUCACAGGGUACCUACUCGAAAGACCGCACAUUCACAAAAUUGGAAAAUUGGAUUCGACGGAAUGCAGACCAAACGCGGACGCUAGAAUAUUAUAUGUACGAAUGCCCAGCCCUCAGCCGGAUGAGGUAGGAUACAUUUCAAAGCUUCCAGUGGUUCAACUUAAGAUACAUUGUGCAGCUGGAAUGGAAAAAAAUUAGGUAUCUUACCAAUUCUACUAUAUCUAAGGUUAUUUCUACCAUAGUUAACAAAAAUAGGAAGGCAUUAAGCUCACUGGUGGGCCAACUCAAUUUGUGCGUAAUUUGGUUUGCAGUCCCGCAACAUUUUCGGCAAUGAAAGAGCAGCGCUAAGACUGGGAGCUCAAUACAUAAUUUGAACAAAUAUCUCAGUAAAUGUGGGAACCUAUACAUAUAUAUGACAUGCCUUUAAAAUGAGAAUAAACUAUAAUUUUUUACAAGUGAUGGUCGCCUGCCCACCUUAGUGGUACCCCGGAAAUUAAAGACCAUUCUAAAGAAAGAAGUCUGUUGAACACUGCUGAAAGUUUCGAUAAUAUAAGAUAUAACACAUUCUGUUACUAUUUAACACCCAGUGACCAACCCAAUCAUAUCGAGCUACUAAAUUUUUGGUGCCAACGAUUUUCAUGUUUUGUAUGGGUACGUAUAUUAGCCUCUUUCUUUUGCAGUUGCCUAAUUGUACAACUUAUUGUCAACGUUUACCACUUAAUUCAAUUGCGUGCCGCCUUUUUUCUAUAUGUCGCGUGACUCGACUAGUUACUUUCUGACACCACAUGAAUUGACGUGCUGAUUUACACGAAAUACUUAUAGGCUUCAUAUUGGCUGGGGAAUUAAGUUGUGAUUCGCAGAUGAAAAUAACAGCUACUUAAUUAAUUUAUUAGAAAUUUAGACUGUAGUCGAACAUAUGCUUUUCACAUUAUUGAAAGUUGAAAAAAAAAUAGUUUCUGGUCACUCCCAAAGGAAUGACGCUCAGAGAACUUUCUUUCUAAAGAAUUAUUUUAGAUGCACGUGCUAAGUUGACGUUGAUAUCAACGAAGGUUAAAGAAAUAUCAAAGCUUAAAAACAAAAAAUUUCUAACAGCUUAU